Molecule: ribosomal RNA, 498 nt
Filed under: uncultured bacterium
Lineage: Bacteria
Description: partial 16S ribosomal RNA
Rfam family: Bacterial small subunit ribosomal RNA
Source: RNAcentral
AUUGAACGCUGGCGGCAUGCCUUACACAUGCAAGUCGAACGGUAACAGGUCUUCGGAUGCUGACGAGUGGCGAACGGGUGAGUAAUACAUCGGAACGUGCCUAGUAGUGGGGGAUAACUACUCGAAAGAGUGGCUAAUACCGCAUGAGAUCUACGGAUGAAAGCAGGGGAUCGCAAGACCUUGUGCUACUAGAGCGGCCGAUGGCAGAUGAGGUAGUUGGUGGGAUAAAAGCUUACCAAGCCGACGAUCCGUAGCUGGUCUGAGAGGACGAUCAGCCACACUGGGACUGAGACACGGCCCAGACUCCGACGUGAGGCAGCAGUGGGGAAUUUUGGACAAUGGGCGAAAGCCUGAUCCAGCAAUGCCGCGUGCAGGAUGAAGGCCUUCGGGUUGUAAACUGCUUUUGUACGGAACGAAAAGCCCCGGGUUAAUACCCUGGGGUCAUGACGGUACCGUAAGAAUAAGCACCGGCUAACUACGUGCCAGCAGCCGCGGUAA